UGACUCCUACGGGAGGCAGCAGUGGGGAAUAUUGCACAAUGGGGGAAACCCUGAUGCAGCCAUGCCGCGUGUGUGAAGAAGGCCUUCGGGUUGUAAAGCACUUUCAGUAGGGAGGAAGGUAGUGUAGUUAACACCUGCACUAUUUGACGUUACCUACAGAAGAAGCACCGGCUAACUCCGUGCCAGCAGCCGCGGUAAUACGGAGGGUGCGAGCGUUAAUCGGAAUUACUGGGCGUAAAGCGCAUGCAGGCGGCCUGUUAAGUCAGAUGUGAAAGCCCGGGGCUUAACCUCGGAAUUGCAUUUGAAACUGGCAGGCUAGAGUCUUGUAGAGGGGGUAGAAUUUCAGGUGUAGCGGUGAAAUGCGUAGAGAUCUGAAGGAAUACCAGUGGCGAAGGCGGCCCCCCUGGACAAAGACUGACGCUCAGAUGCGAAAGCGUGGGGAGCAAACAGGAUUAGAUACCCUGGUAG
This 468-nucleotide ribosomal RNA is filed under the name uncultured bacterium. Its description in RNAcentral is "bacterial SSU rRNA". It matches the Rfam family "Bacterial small subunit ribosomal RNA", at positions 333 to 793 of the family's 1533-position model. The record is from RNAcentral.